This 5559-nucleotide long non-coding RNA is filed under the name Heterocephalus glaber (naked mole-rat). RNAcentral describes it as "lncRNA (ENSHGLG00000042422.1)". Lineage: Eukaryota; Metazoa; Chordata; Mammalia; Rodentia; Bathyergidae. The record is from RNAcentral.
GAGCACAAUCUCUGCUAUCUGAGAAAUUAUUUCUUAUUUCAUUUUUUCCAGAUCCUCUUUUGUUGCCAGUUCAGGGAGUCCAGGUGGUUCAGUAUUAGAGUGGUCCAUCUCAUUUCCCUUUGGGGAUGCUGUAGGUGCUCUGGGAAGUCUGGUUUUGGAACUUAUUUAUGUGUCUUCUCAUUUUGACAGGGGGCUGCUAUUGGUACCCACACGACUCACAUCCUCUGUGCUGGGAACAGUGGAAUGGCAUCCCAGAAGCCCCUUCCUCUGUGCUGAGAGUGGUGGAAUGGCAGCCAGUAGGCCCCUUCCUCUGCUCUGGGAGUGGUGGAACGGUGGCCUGGAGUCCCCUACCUCUGCACUGGGAGCAGUGGUAUGGGUGGCCCAAAGCCCACUUCCUCUGUGCUGCAAGUGGUGGAACAGCAGCCCAGAAGCCCCUUCCUCUGCACUUGGAGAGGUGGACAGGUCUCUCUACAUGAUUCUGAGGUUCUUCUGUUUCACUAUUUUUUAUUCCAGUCAGCUUUCCUGCAACUGAACAAAAUACCUGACACCUGCAAUUUAAAGCAGAGGGCUCACAGAUUCAGAGGUUGGCUGGUUCUGAGGCCAAAAACAUCAUGGCAGAGGCGCUUGCCCCAGGAAAAGUGCUGGAGACUCAGGGGACCCAGGAGAAGAGCCUGAGAAGAAGAGGUCAAGAACCGGAUAUGGUCUCCAAGGCCACAUGUGCCUGACUCGCCCAGUCGCACUGGAAGUGUGCUUUCCUAAUCUGCUAGGAAUUCUCACACCAAUCAAGGUGGCCUUUGUGAGAUAAAAAGUCUUGCCUUGACUCACUCAGUGUGAAACAUCAGCCCAUAAACAUUUUAAAUUGAAAGUAUACAUUUUAAAAACUCACACUGAGAUUUUAUCCACCUAUAAUAAUUUAAAAAUGUGAUUUUCUUUUAGAGCUGCACCUUAUCAGAAAGAAACCAUAUUUAAAAGGAAGCCUGGAGUUUUGCUACUAUAUUACACUCAGAAAACAGGCUCUGAGAACAUUUAGGUCCUUAAUUAUUAAGGGCUGAAAAAUAUAAGGGAGGACCCCAUGUUCAUAAGUUUAGUUUUCUUGCACUGUAUACUUAUAAUGUCUUCUCUAGCUUAUCAAUUUAAGUAGGUAAGAAAUAAUGGUUUUGCAUGUCUCUGUUGCCAAACCAAUGACAAGGACACAAUACCUAAAUAGGUAAAUAUGAUAGGGUUGCAAUAUAAUUUUAUCAUCAUUAUGUGAUUGAGGCUUUUCACUUUUUAUACUCACCAUAUCUCUUUUAAGUAAUAAAUAACUUUUAGCUAAUUAAGUUCUAUUAAAUCAAAUUUUGUAAAAUUGAGAAAGGCCUUAAAACAUUACCUUGUUAAAAUAGAAUUUGCUGGGCAGGGGAUUUAAUUCUGGUUCCACCGCCUGCCUCACAAGCGCAAGGGCCCAAGUUUGAUCCCCAAUACAAAAAUAAUAGAAUUUGCUUUGUUAAUCGGUUGAUCUAAGAAAUACACACUUAGGAUGAAAAUAAAGUAGAAAAUUAUAAAACCAUGUAAAAUUGAAAGUAUGUUUCUAGUUUAAAUCUCAGCAAGCUAUUCUGUGGAAUUUGAUAAUCUAGAGAAUUUCUAUGAAAAAAAAAGGCAAACAGGUGUCACACAGUACUGAAAUGAGAAAACGAGGUGCCCAUCUAUUAGCUUUGUAAAUGAGUAGAUUUAUGAGACCCUAAUGGUUAAUCUUGAUUAUCACUGCGAUUGAAUCAAAAAACACCUAACAACAUUUUAAAGCACAAUUCUGGUUGUGUCUGUGAGGUGUUUCUGGAAAUGACUGGCAUAUAGGGAAGAAAACUGAUGGGAGCAAGCCUCCCUGAACUUUGAAGCAUUCAUCCAUAGUAUGGGGCUCAAUGGAACAAAAAUAGAAGGAGAAAGCCACCUAGCCCAGGCUUUCCUCUCUCUUCUCUGCUUCCACACUGGCACAAGGUGAACAGUUUUCCAUGACCAUGCUCUUCCUCAAUGAUGUUGCUUCCUUGUCACUGACCUAAAAGUAAUGAAGCCAAAUAAUCUAACGUGGACUGAAACCUCUGAAACCAAUGGUCUAAAUAAAUCUGCUUCUAUAAGUUGUGUUUCUCCAAUAUUUUGUCCCUGUUUUGGAAAGCCGAUUAACACAAAAUUAAAGGCAAAAAGAAUUGUACACAGAGAGUGAUGUCUAUCCCAUAAGGGUGUGCUUCUUGGGGAAAUGAGACAAACAUACUAGUACAGCUAUAGAUGUUACAACUGUUGGAGGAUAGAGGGAACAAGAUUUCUCCCUGUUAGUGUAGGAAGGUAGAGUAAUUAAGAGGAGGAAACUAGAAUGAUCUGCAUUGUAAUGAAUUAAUUUUGGAUUGAAGAAUAAGAAUUCAUGUUUUGCUCAAUAUAGGUAUGGAUGUGUAUAUGUAGAAACAUUUGUAGAUAUGAGAAGUCAUAGAAUUAAAUAACUUUAAUAGUAAAUAGCAUUUUCUCAUGCCAUUCUGUAGGAAAUGGAAUUAGUGAUCCUUUGAGAAAUAACUGUUUCUAGGGCAGGAGCAGAAAAUACCCAUGUAAGCAUGCAGUUUACAGUCAGAAAGUAAGGGAGUCUUAGGAAAACAAAAAUACUUGGGGCUCAAUGGACUGAAUGUUUGUGCCCUAAUAUUCGUAUGCUGAAAUUCUAAUCACAAAUAUGAAGCAAGCCACGGCCUUUGGGAAAUAAUUAGGUCAAAGAAGUGGACCCUUCAUGAGUGGAAUUGGUGCUCUGAGUGAGGAGAUGGUUUCAGACCACUAUCUCACCUUUUUGCCAGGUUAAGACAUAGCCAGAAGGCAGCUGUACACACCCUGAAGGAAGCGCUCAAGAGAUCCUGGCUCUGCUACUAUUCAAAUCUUAAACUUUCAACCUCAAAAACUAUGAAAAACUAGUUUUUGUGGCUUCUGGGCCACCAAGUCUAUAGUAUUUUCUUAUAAUAAUCUGAGAUGUAUAAAGUAUGUGUUAUGUUAGAUGUUUUUGUUUUUGAGAUAUUGUCUCACUGUAUUGCCCAUGCUGGCCUUGAUCUUGUGGGCUCCAGUGAUUCUUCCAUUUCAGCCUCAUGAGUAGUUUGGAUGGGGUAUGUCAAAAUAGCACCAAAGCCAAUUAAAAGACUUCCCAAUGGACAAAGCUGAAACUAUUUGUGGAGGAAAAGAAAGAGAGUAUGAAGAUGUAACUAAAAGCAUAAAGUAAAUGCCCAUGAAUAUAUAUAUAUAUAUAAAGAUAUAAAUAUAUAUAAAGAUAUAAAUAAAGAAAAUUAGACAAUAUCUUCUGCAUAACAAUUCCAAAUAAUAUUGUAUAUUCCAUCUUCAAAAAAGGGAAAGAAGCUCCCCAGUAUAGACUGAAGAUAGAGAUUUACUUACAAACAAUUCAGCAUGAAAAGAGAAUUAAGGAAGAGGAAACUAAAUUUACAGAAAAGAAGCAAAGCAAACACUAUGUGAGGAAGGUCAGUAUCCACAGCAAUGGUCACUUUAGCAGUAUGCAUCCUCCAUGUGCGGUGAUGGCAAUGGAGGCACAGAUACAGCUGUGAUCUUCCUCCCGCAAACCCAAAGUCCCAGUCUGGUCAUGAGCAAAUUAUCAGACAAGCUGAAAUAGAAGAACAACUGUAUUAUUUACAGCACUCCAAAGGAACAGAAGCAAUAGAAAAUGUAUGUAUAUUAUGUAAGGGGAUUUCUAAGGCAGGCUUACAGGAUCCGAGGUGGAAGAGUCCACAAUGGCCACCUGUGGGGUCAGAGGUGGAAAGUCCAGCAGCUGCUCAGCCAGGAAGAAGGAAAGUACAGAAGAAGAGGGAGCAGGGCUGCAGCACCAGCCCCAAGCUGAAGGCCUGGGAGCUCACUGGAAGUUCUUCAGUGUGAGUCUGCACUGGACGGCUCAGCAAGGGGAGAGCUGGAAACCGAUGUCCAAAGGUGAUCACAGAGGAGGUCGCACUCUCUCGGGAUGUACUUCUCUUCAAAACCUGGCACGUUUCCUUCUCUCCCUUUUUAAUCCAUCCAGGCCACAAGCCCACUUGUUGGUCCCACCCAAGUCUGGGCUGGUUCUUCCUCAUUUGCUGGCCUUCAUGUCAAUCAUCCAUAGACAUACCGAGAACUGUGCUUUACUAAUCUGAUAGGCAUUUUAUAAUCCAUUCAAGUUGGCAUGUAAUGAUCAACUGUCACAGCAUCUAUCGUAUAUCUGACCAGUACCCAGUAUCCAUCACCCAAAACUCUUUUUGUGUUGUUGUUGUUCCCGGGAUCAAACUCAGGACCUCUCAGUUGCCAGGCAAGCGCCGUGCCACUGAGCUACAUCCCAGGCCCCAAAAAUUCUUAAGGUUGAGUAGAGUUUGAGAGACUACCAUGGCUAAGUGGAUAUAAUACCUAAAUAGAUUGUGUUAUCUAUCCUGGAUGGGAUCUUGAUGCAGAUAAUCAGGGAAAAACAUAAGAAAUUGGAAUAAAUCGGAGUAAUUAGAUCCAUAAUUUCCCCCAAAGUUCCAUGGGCUCAGAAGUGGGGCUUCUGAAUGAAGGCAUGAUUGGAUAAUGGUGAUGCCAUAUUUAGCAGUGGAUUAAUCCAAUGAUGGAUUCAUGACUAACUGUGCUGUUAGGAGUUUGGGUUGGGUUGGAAGGUGGAUCACUGGGCAUGAGCCUUUGUAGGGCAUGCAUCUCUUGCUCAGACUCUCUCUCUCUGUUUCCCUCUUGUCAUGAGUUGAAUAGCUUUUUCCCUGCCAGCCCCUUCUGCCAUGCCAUGCUUUUUAAAAAUUGUAUUGGUACAUUUUAGAUAUACAAUUUAAUGACAUUCAUCAUUGAGAAUUUGUACCUUUACAUAAUAUAUCUUGGUUCUUAUUUUUUCCCCCUUCCCCUGCCCUCCCUUCAACCCCUCCACCCCUCCCUAUUUCAAAGACUUUGUUUCUAUUUUUUCCUUUUCUCAUAUUAAUUCCAUUCCCUUCUUUCCUUUCCCCUACCCCUUCUAUUUCCCCUCCCCCUUUGGACCUUUUCUUCCUAUUUCACUUUAUCUGUUAUGCCUUUUGAUCCUUAUUUACACUUUCUCACACCAGAGAAACUAUUCAGUAUUUACACAUGUCUGCCCUAUUUUUUUCACUUAAGGGUACGGCCUCAAUGUGCAUCCAUUUAGCUAUAAAUGUCUCUAGUUUUUCAUUCUUUAUGGCUGAGUAGUACUCCAUUUUAUUUUGAAAAAACAUUUUCUUUACCCAGUCUCCAGUUGAUGGGUAAUUGGGAUGUUGCCAAGUUUUACCUAUUACAAAUUGUGCUGCUACAAACAUGGUGCACAUUUUUAACUUCAAGCUUGUGAGUAUGGACUGAGCCCUCUGAAACAGUGAGCCAAAAAUAAAUCUCUCCUUCUUUAUGUUGCAAUUUUCAGGUAGCUUGUCCCAGUUAUAGGAAAGGUGACCAAUAAAAAAUAUGAAUUUUAAUUGAUAAUGUAUCAAUUUUAGUUUAUUAGUUGGGAAAAUGUACUAUAAAUUAUGCUAAUAAUAAAGAAAAAAGAUUGUAGGGUAUUUAGGUACUCUCUUUACUAUCUCUGCAAUUUUUUGGUAAACAUGAAAC